AGCGCCGCCGCCCUCUCCCCGGACCCACAGACGGAGGGACGGGACAGACACACGCCGGGAUGUGUUGGCCCAACGCCGUCCCGCUGUCCCAGUCAGCGUCCCCUCACCUGCGGCGCGGCCCCGGGGAGAAGGAAUUUCUAGGACUUCGACAUAGGAAUUUACUUCAACCUUUACUGAGGGCAGUAGGCACCUUUUGAAUUAACCUUGAAAACAGAUGGAUUAAAUCCUGCAUCAUCAUCAUCUCUUACCCUUGAAAAGCCCGAAACAUCAUGUUCCUCAAUGACGAGACUGCUGUAUAUACGUGAAGAACACUGGGGGCAUAGGUAUCCUGGCUUUUCCACAAGCAGCAAGAACAAUAUGAGGUUUGAAAAGGGGAAAAGGAAGAGAGAAGACGUAAGAGAAAGAUAAAUCUAAAACAAGCUAUACACUGAAAUUAACUGGAGGAUCCUUUCAACCUAGAAAAUCUCCUAGAAAUUGAUAGAGGCCUACGGAUAGAUAUCCCGUAGGGAGUAAGGAAAGCCUGUGUGUGUGAGACUCUGUGUUCCACAUUGUUAUAAAGAAUCCACAUGGCAAAUCCUCUUUUCCUCCUUAUUUUCUGCUUCUUCACCCGUAGAAUUUAUUCACAGCAUCUCUAUCUGGAUGUGAAAUCCAAGACAGUGACAUUGUGAAAACGUCAGAACAAUGGUAAAGUUGGCUUGUUUCAUCCGCUGCCUUGGAAACCCGCACACGUUUCGUUUUCCGCUAAGUGUAAAACACACAGAUGCUUGAUACUUAAAUGGUUAUUGAAAUUCCUAUAAAUACUCAAGGUAACAAAUUGAGUCAU
Chroicocephalus ridibundus (black-headed gull) is the source of this 823-nucleotide long non-coding RNA. RefSeq lists it as uncharacterized. NCBI's taxonomy places the organism in Eukaryota, Metazoa, Chordata, Aves, Charadriiformes, Laridae. The transcript has 4 exons. The record is from RefSeq and is a predicted model, not a curated record.